Molecule: unclassified non-coding RNA, 437 nt
Filed under: air metagenome
Description: partial contains small subunit ribosomal RNA, internal transcribed spacer 1, and 5.8S ribosomal RNA
Rfam family: Eukaryotic small subunit ribosomal RNA (bases 1-46)
Source: RNAcentral
AAGUCGUAACAAGGUUUCCGUAGGUGAACCUGCGGAAGGAUCAUUAAAGAAAUUUAAUAAUUUUGAAAAUGGAUUUUUUUGUUUUGGCAAGAGCAUGAGAGCUUUUACUGGGCAAGAAGACAAGAGAUGGAGAGUCCAGCCGGGCCUGCGCUUAAGUGCGCGGUUUUGCUAGGCCUGUAAGUUUCUUUCUUGCUAUUCCAAACGGUGAGAGAUUUCUGUGCUUUUGUUAUAGGACAAUUAAAACCGUUUCAAUACAACACACUGUGGAGUUUUCAUAUCUUUGCAACUUUUUCUUUGGGCAUUCGAGCAAUCGGGGCCCAGAGGUAACAAACACAAACAAUUUUAUUUAUUCAUUAAAUUUUUGUCAAAAACAAGAAUUUUCGUAACUGGAAAUUUUAAAAUAUUAAAAACUUUCAACAACGGAUCUCUUGGUUCUC